GGGGCGGUAGCUCAGCAGGAAGAGCGCUGAUCUGGCAGGUCUGAGGUGAGGGGUUCGAGUCCCCUCCGCUCCACCA
RNAcentral lists this transfer RNA (76 nucleotides) under Plantactinospora alkalitolerans. Its description in RNAcentral is "Plantactinospora sp. S1510 tRNA-Ala". It matches the Rfam family "tRNA". From Rfam's summary of the family: Transfer RNA (tRNA) molecules are approximately 80 nucleotides in length. Their secondary structure includes four short double-helical elements and three loops (D, anti-codon, and T loops). The record is from RNAcentral. Lineage: Bacteria; Bacillati; Actinomycetota; Actinomycetes; Micromonosporales; Micromonosporaceae.